AUGCCACAAGCCAUCUCGUCUUCCUCUCCUUGGUACGUCCACCUGAGCGGCCAGCUCAUGUCAGCCGGGGCCCCUCGCCCCCUUCACCGGUCAGCCGGCUCACCAGGUCCUCCGUUUCUAGGUCAGGGUGGCGGGAAAGUGGCUGUGAUGCAGAUAUGCUCAAGGAGAAGAAGUGGGGCAGGACACAAGGUCUUUCUUAAUGGAUUUUCACAGGAAGACCAGAGACUGACCGGGCUGCAGAGUGUCAAGCAUCGAAAAGCUCUCAGAACACAAAAGAUGUUUUGCAAAAUGUUCGGUAACAGUGCAUGUGUCCAUACAACAAAAGUGAAUGUGCAGUGUGGCACAGUCUGGCUGUUGGCUGAAGGGGCUGACAUUGAGAUGGUAGAUAACGCUCAAUGACGGAGAGGCCGUUUGCUGCUGAUCCUGGGGUGAUGAAUCACACGACCGGAAAGAGAUGAGCUCGGAGCGCCGAGGAGAGAAAUGUGAAACAAGAAGAUAGUCAGCGAGAGGCCAAAAUUAAGGCCCUGUCGAGACGGCGACGCAGGGCUGGCAGAGGGGGACAUGGCCGGCCUGAGAGGACCCCGUGUAGAGCCUGCAGGAGGGAGCGAAGUGUGAUAAGGGAAGGUAGGACUUAAUCUUCUAAAGUGCUGAUGGUGCUGGAUGGAGAAGACUACGGCUGGAACUGCCGCUUUCAAAAAAGAACGCCAUUAUUCACCAUCAGAGUGCAGGGCCUGCAAAGAUUGUGCGUCUGUGUGUGCGUCUAAGAGAUAGUGUGUGCGCAAAGACCUAUUUGUGUAAAGUAUGUAUAGUGUCCCUCGAAAUACCGAUUCCAGAUUACAAGUCACGGCGACAAACAAAUACAGCAGGUUCAGCCUGUGGGGUCACUAUGUGUGUGUGUGUGUGUGUGUGUGUGUGUGUGUGUGUGUGUGUGUGUGUGUGAGAGACAUGUUGAUUAACUCUGUCCAUCGUUUACAGUCAUGGCGUGAAAGAAUCUGCAUCGCUGCUAUUAACAUUAUGAGCAGACCAAAACAGAUUUUUCAAAAGCACGAUUUGCAUUAUAAAAGUUACAUUUUGAUUGGAUUAGCUAUAUUAAAAAAAGCGGUCUGAUAUACGCACACCUGUGAUGCAGAUUAAUUGAAUUAUAUAUUAAUGUAUCUAAUUUGCUUCAAACCAAAAAAAACAAAACAAAAAUAAAAGGGUUUAAGGGUUUAAAACUGGACCUUGC
Molecule: long non-coding RNA, 1225 nt
Organism: Cyprinus carpio (common carp)
Lineage: Eukaryota; Metazoa; Chordata; Actinopteri; Cypriniformes; Cyprinidae
Source: Ensembl